CAGGCUAAUGUUCCUAUCCACCCAGUAAGACCAGCAGGCUAAUGUUCCUAUCCACCCAAUAAGACCAGCAGGCUAAUGUUCCUAUCCACCCAAUAAGACCAGCAGGCUAAUGUUCCUAUCCACCCAAUAAGACAGAAAGUCAGUACAGUAAAGACAGCAGGCUAAUGUUCCUAUCCACCCAGUAAGACCAGCAGGCUCAUGUUCCUAUCCACCCAGUAAGACCAGCAGGCUAAUGUUCCUAUCCACCCAAUAAGACCAGCAGGCUAAUGUUCCUAUCCACCCAAUAAGACCAGCAGGCUAAUGUUCCUAUCCACCCAAUAAGACAGAAAGUCAGUACAGAAAAGACAGCAGGCUAAUGUUCCUAUCCACCCAGUAAGACCAGCAGGCUCAUGUUCCUAUCCACCCAGUAAGACCAGCAGGCUAAUGUUCCUAUCCACCCAAUAAGACCAGCAGGCUAAUGUUCCUAUCCACCCAAUAAGACCAGCAGGCUAAUGUUCCUAUCCACCCAAUAAGACCAGCAGGCUAAUGUUCCUAUCCACCCAAUAAGACAGAAAGUCAGUACAGUAAAGACAGCAGGCUAAUGUUCCUAUCCACCCAAUAAGACCAGCAGGCUCAUGUUCCUAUCCACCCAAUAAGACCAGCAGGCUCAUGUUCCUAUCCACCCAAUAAGACCAGCAGGCUCAUGUUCCUAUCCACCCAAUAAGGCCAGCAGGCUCAUGUUCCUAUCCACCCAAUAAGACAGAAAGUCAGUACAGUAAGACCAGCAGGCUAAUGUUCCUAUCCACCCAAUAAGACCAGCAGGCUCAUGUUCCUAUCCACCCAGUAAGACAUAAAGUCAGUACAGUAAGACCAGCAGGCUCAUGUUCCUAUCCACCCAGUAAGACAUAAAGUCAGUACAGUAAGACCAGCAGGCUAAUGUUCCUAUCCACCCAAUAAGACCAGCAGGCUAAUGUUCCUAUCCACCCAAUAAGACAUAAAGUCAGUACAGUAAGACCAGCAGGCUAAUGUUCCUAUCCACCCAAUAAGACCAGCAGGCUAAUGUUCCUAUCCACCCAAUAAGACCAGCAGGCUAAUGUUCCUAUCCACCCAGUAAGACAUAAAGUCAGUACAGUAAAGACAGCAGGCUAAUGUUCCUAUCCACCCAGUAAGACAUAAAGUCAGUACAGUAAAGACAGCAGGCUAAUGUUCCUAUCCACCCAAUAAGACCAGCAGGCUCGUGUUCCUAUCCACCCAGUAAGACAUAAAGUCAGUACAGUAAAGACAGCAGGAGAGUGGGAAAACAAGAGAAGGAGAGAAUGAACGUGAAAGAGGAGAGGAGAGAA
Oncorhynchus tshawytscha (Chinook salmon) is the source of this 1322-nucleotide long non-coding RNA. Lineage: Eukaryota; Metazoa; Chordata; Actinopteri; Salmoniformes; Salmonidae. The record is from Ensembl.